UAACGCGAAAGACCUUACCAGGCCUUGACAUCCAAUGAACUUUCUAGAGAUAGAUUGGUUCCUUCGGGAACAUUGACACGGUGCUGCAUGGCUGUCUCCCUCGUGUCGUGAGAUGUUGGGUUAAGUCCCGUAACGAGCGCAACCCUUGUCCUUAGUUACCACCACGUAAUGGUGGGCACUCUAAGGAGACUGCCGGUGACAAACCGAAGGAAGGGGGGGAUGACGUCAAGUCAUCAUGGCCCUUACGGCCUGGGCUACACACGUGCUACAAUGGUCGGUACAAAGGGUUGCCAACCCGCGAGGUGGAGCUAAUCCCAAAAAACCGAUCGUAGUCCGGAUCGCAGUCUGCAACUCGACUGCGUGAAGUCGGAAUCGCUAGUAAUCCCGAAUCACAAUGUCGCGGUGAAUACGUUCCCGGGUCUUGUACACACCG
This 433-nucleotide ribosomal RNA is filed under the name uncultured bacterium. Its description in RNAcentral is "bacterial SSU rRNA". It matches the Rfam family "Bacterial small subunit ribosomal RNA", at positions 957 to 1392 of the family's 1533-position model. The record is from RNAcentral.